CCUACGGGUGGCAGCAGUGAGGAAUAUUGGUCAAUGGACGGAAGCCUGAACCAGCCAUGCCGCGUGCAGGAAGACGGCCCUAUGAGUUGUAAACUGCUUUUGUACAAGGGUAAACCUGAACACGUGUAUCCAGUUGAAAGUACUGUAUGAAUAAGGAUCGGCUAACUCCGUGCCAGCAGCCGCGGUAAUACGGAGGAUCCAAGCGUUAUCCGGAUUUAUUGGGUUUAAAGGGUGCGUAGGCGGGUUGAUAAGUUAGAGGUGAAAGGUCGGGGCUUAACUCGGGAACUGCCUUUAAUACUGGUAGUCUAGAGAAUAGAUGCGGUAGGCGGAAUGUAUGGUGUAGCGGUGAAAUGCUUAGAGAUCAUACAGAACACCGAUUGCGAAGGCAGCUUACCAAUCUGUAUCUGACGUUGAGGCACGAAAGCGUGGGGAGCAAACAGGAUUAGAUACCCUUGUAGUC
RNAcentral lists this ribosomal RNA (460 nucleotides) under uncultured bacterium. RNAcentral describes it as "partial 16S ribosomal RNA". It matches the Rfam family "Bacterial small subunit ribosomal RNA", at positions 338 to 795 of the family's 1533-position model. The record is from RNAcentral.